AGCAGCCGCGGUAAUUCCAGCUCCAAUAGCGUAUAUUAAAGUUGUUGCAGUUAAAAAGCUCGUAGUUGAAUUUCGGGAUCGAAUUGUCGGUCGUGCUUCGGUACGCACUGGCAUUAUCGGUUUCUACCUUCUGAAGAACCGCGAUGUCAUUAAUUUGGUGUCGUGGGGAAUCAGGACUGUUACUUUGAAAAAAUUAGAGUGUUUAAAGCAGGCUUACGCUUGAAUACAUUAGCAUGGAAUAAUGAAAUAGGACGUUUGAUUCUAUUUUGUUGGUUUCUAGGAUCGACGUAAUGAUUAAUAGGGAUAGUUGGGGGCAUUAGUAUUCAAUUGUCAGAGGUGAAAUUCUUGGAUUUAUUGAAGACUAACUACUGCGAAAGCAUUUGCCAAGGAUGUUUUCAUUAAUCAAGAACGAAAGUUAGGGGAUCGAAGACGAUCAGAUACCGUCGUAGUCUUAACCAUAAACUAUGCCGACUAGGGAUCGGAUGAUGUUAAUUUUAUAAUGACUC
Molecule: ribosomal RNA, 506 nt
Filed under: uncultured Glomeromycotina
Lineage: Eukaryota; Fungi; Glomeromycota
Description: SSU rRNA
Rfam family: Eukaryotic small subunit ribosomal RNA
Source: RNAcentral